This 212-nucleotide unclassified non-coding RNA is filed under the name fungal sp. Its description in RNAcentral is "partial internal transcribed spacer region". The record is from RNAcentral. Lineage: Eukaryota; Fungi.
CCGUUGCCCGGCCGUCCAUCGGCGCGAGGGAGUGCACCAUCGCGGGCGACAGCCCGAAGCUGAUGCGCGCCGGGGUGCUGGACAGCAGAAUGUCGAACUGGCGCACGAUGGCGGUCCGUGUCUGUGUCGGCAGCGUCGUCUCGAUGUGCUCGAUAGAGUCUCUGAGCCGCGCGUCUCCGAUCUUCGGCAGGAUGACGCGCGUGCGGAAGUCG